This 1416-nucleotide long non-coding RNA is filed under the name Cairina moschata (Muscovy duck). Its description in RNAcentral is "domestica (muscovy Duck (domestic type)) lncRNA (ENSCMMG00000006578.1)". Lineage: Eukaryota; Metazoa; Chordata; Aves; Anseriformes; Anatidae. The record is from RNAcentral.
AUGGGAAGGGCUGAGGGGACUGGAAGCACUGGAGUGACUGGGGACACUGGGGGCACUGGGUGCAAGCAGGGGGGCCGAGGGGGCCCAGCAGGCACAGGGCAGGGACAUGCAGAGGGCACCGGGGCCGGCUCCUGGCACGGGCACCCCCUGCUCCCCCGCCUCAGCAAACAGACGGGGACAGCGCGCGCUGCCCCAGCACCUCCCGGCCUGCCACCGCCCCCAGCGUCCUCUGUGUCCCCCCCAGGACCGAGGCACCCGCACCCUGAGCACCCCGUGGUGCUCCCCCCUUCCCCACGGGGUGACCAAAAGCAGCAGCAGGACACUGUGAAGCUCUUUAUUUGGCACCGCACAGCAAAACCACUCAACAAGCAGCUGGAAAACCGAGCUGGCAGCACGGGGCACGGCCGCCGUCCCACGGAGGGGGGCGACACCCAUCUUUGGGGUCCCCUUCUUGCCCCACAGCCUCCUCUGCAGAUGGAUGGACGGACGGACAGGCUGCCCCCUCUGCUCUUUGGUGGGCGAAAGGGGCUGGGGGCUGCUGGCAUGCCCCCCAGGGGACAAAGCAGCGUGGGCUCGGUGAAGGCACUGAGGGGGGGGCACGGCGAGCGGCUCCCCAGCUUGGGGGGGCAGCGGGACGGGGGCUGCCGGGACGGCACCCGCCCCACGGGGUCACCGGGCACACGUGGGGUGGCGGAAGGGGCGAGCGGGGUGGGGGGCGCACACACCGGGGGUCACACACAUGGGGCGGGGGGGGGGGCGCUGCUCCUUUUCACUCCUCCUCCCGGUUCUGGGCCCCCCCCCACCUGUGCCAGCGGCACAGCUCCUCCACCUUCCACUCCAGGCUGCGGACGGCGGCUUCCAGCCGCGCCUGGGGGCCGGGGGGGCUCUCCCCGCCGCCCCCCAGCAGCAGGUAGAGCCCCCAGAGCCCCAGCAGCAUCGCCGCCUGCGCCGUGGGGCUGCUGCCCUCGGCGGCCGCCACGCGGAGGAAGGCUCCCAGGAAGCAGCAGAGCUUCAGGCAGCGCAGCGCCGGCCGCAGCGGGGCCAGCAGCAGCCCCAGCAGCCGCGGCAGCAGCCGGGCCCCCGCCAGCGCCGCCAGCCCCCACAGCAGCACCCGCUGCACCUCGCCGGGGGCCAGCGCCGCCCCGCGCACCAGCCAGGCCCCUGGAGAGGGGGAGAACAACGGGGUCGGGGGGGUGCUGGCGGUGUGUGGGGGUCGUUGGAGCGGUCCCCCCCCAGCCCAGACUCACCGCCCAGGCCGCAGGCGCUCAGGAUGUCCCCCAGGAGGGUGCUGAGCACCGCCAGGGCGGCCGAGAUGGUGGAGGAGACGAGCCACAGCACGGCGGCCAGGCCCUGCGGGGGGAUACGGAGGGUGCUCGGGGGCUGGGGGGAGCGACGCCCCCCCCGAUGUCCCCAUAA